Molecule: ribosomal RNA, 497 nt
Filed under: uncultured bacterium
Lineage: Bacteria
Description: partial 16S ribosomal RNA
Rfam family: Bacterial small subunit ribosomal RNA
Source: RNAcentral
GAUGAACGCUGGCGGCGUGCCUAAUACAUGCAAGUCGAGCGAACAGAUAAGGAGCUUGCUCCUUUGACGUUAGCGGCGGACGGGUGAGUAACACGUGGGUAACCUACCUAUAAGACUGGAAUAACUCCGGGAAACCGGGGCUAAUGCCGGAUAACAUUUAGAACCGCAUGGUUCUAAAGUGAAAGAUGGUUUUGCUAUCACUUAUAGAUGGACCCGCGCCGUAUUAGCUAGUUGGUAAGGUAACGGCUUACCAAGGCAACGAUACGUAGCCGACCUGAGAGGGUGAUCGGCCACACUGGAACUGAGACACGGUCCAGACUCCUACGGGAGGCAGCAGUAGGGAAUCUUCCGCAAUGGGCGAAAGCCUGACGGAGCAACGCCGCGUGAGUGAUGAAGGUCUUCGGAUCGUAAAACUCUGUUAUUAGGCAAGAACAAAUGUGUAAGUAACUGUGCACGUCUUGACGGUACCUAAUCAGAAAGCCACGGCUAACUACGUG